CCUACGGGAGGCAGCAGUGGGGAAUAUUGCACAAUGGGGGAAACCCUGAUGCAGCGAAGCCGCGUGAGUGAAGAAGGAUCUCGGGAUGUAAAGCUCUAUCAGCAGGGAAGAAGAAAGACGGUAGUUGACUAAGUAGCCACGACUAACUACGUGCCAGCAGCCGAGGUAAGACGUAGGAGGCGAGCCUUAACCGGAUUUACUGGGUGUAAAGGGAGCGUAGACGGCUGUGCAAGUCGGAAGUGAAAGCCCAGGGCUCAACCCUGGUACUGCUUUGGAAACUGUGUACCUAGAGUGCUGGAGAGGUAAGUGGAAUUCGUGGUGUAGCGGUGAAAUGCGUAGAUAUUACGAAGAACACCAGUGGCGAAGGCGGCUUACUGGACAGUAACUGACGUUGAGGCUCGAAAGCGUGGGGAGCAAACAGGAUUAGAUACCCUUGUAGUC
Molecule: ribosomal RNA, 441 nt
Filed under: uncultured bacterium
Lineage: Bacteria
Description: partial 16S ribosomal RNA
Rfam family: Bacterial small subunit ribosomal RNA
Source: RNAcentral